This 364-nucleotide ribosomal RNA is filed under the name uncultured bacterium. Its description in RNAcentral is "partial 16S ribosomal RNA". It matches the Rfam family "Bacterial small subunit ribosomal RNA", at positions 338 to 700 of the family's 1533-position model. The record is from RNAcentral.
CCUACGUGAGGCAGCAGUGAGGAAUAUUGGUCAAUGGCCGAAAGGCUGAACCAGCCAAGUCGCGUGAGGGAAGACGGCCCUACGGGUUGUAAACCUCUUUUGUCGGGGAGCAAAGAGAGUCACGUGUGACUCAUUGAGAGUACCCGAAGAAAAAGCAUCGGCUAACUCCGUGCCAGCAGCCGCGGUAAUACGGAUGAUGCGAGCGUUAUCCGGAUGUAUUGGGGUAAAAGGGUGCGCAGGCGGAGGUGCAAGUCAGCGGUCAAAUUGCGUGGCUCAACCCCGUACUGCGGUUGAAACUGCAUCCCUUGAGUGCGCGAGAAGUAUGCGGAAUGCGUGGUGUAGCGGUGAAAUGCAUAGAUAUCAC